GCUGGGCGCAGUGGCACGUGCCUGUAGUCCCAGCUAUGCGGCAGGCUGAGGCUGGAGGAUUGCUCGUGCCCAGGAGUUCUGGGCUGUGGUGUGCUGUGCCCAUCGGGUGUCCACACUAAGUUCGGCAUCAAUAUGGUGACCUCCCGGGAGCAGGGGACCACCAGGUUGCCUAAGGACAGGUGAACCGGCCCAGGUUGAAAUGGAGCAGGUCAAAACUCCCGUGCUGAUCAGUAGUGGGAUUGCGCCUGUGAAUAGCCACUGCACUCCAGCCUGGGCAACAUAGCGAGACCCGUCUCU
Molecule: signal recognition particle RNA, 297 nt
Filed under: Cebus imitator (Panamanian white-faced capuchin)
Lineage: Eukaryota; Metazoa; Chordata; Mammalia; Primates; Cebidae
Description: Metazoan signal recognition particle RNA (ENSCCAG00000005726.1)
Rfam family: Metazoan signal recognition particle RNA
About the family: The signal recognition particle (SRP) is a universally conserved ribonucleoprotein.
Source: RNAcentral